Molecule: ribosomal RNA, 700 nt
Filed under: uncultured bacterium
Lineage: Bacteria
Description: bacterial SSU rRNA
Rfam family: Bacterial small subunit ribosomal RNA
Source: RNAcentral
UGCAAGUCGAACGGUAACAGGUCUUCGGAUGCUGACGAGUGGCGAACGGGUGAGUAAUACAUCGGAACGUGCCCGAGAGUGGGGGAUAACGAAGCGAAAGCUUUGCUAAUACCGCAUACGAUCUCAGGAUGAAAGCAGGGGACCGCAAGGCCUUGCGCUCACGGAGCGGCCGAUGGCAGAUUAGGUAGUUGGUGGGAUAAAAGCUUACCAAGCCGACGAUCUGUAGCUGGUCUGAGAGGACGACCAGCCACACUGGGACUGAGACACGGCCCAGACUCCUACGGGAGGCAGCAGUGGGGAAUUUUGGACAAUGGGCGCAAGCCUGAUCCAGCCAUGCCGCGUGCAGGAUGAAGGCCUUCGGGUUGUAAACUGCUUUUGUACGGAACGAAAAGACUCUGGUUAAUACCUGGGGUCCAUGACGGUACCGUAAGAAUAAGCACCGGCUAACUACGUGCCAGCAGCCGCGGUAAUACGUAGGGUGCGAGCGUUAAUCGGAAUUACUGGGCGUAAAGCGUGCGCAGGCGGUUAUGUAAGACAGAUGUGAAAUCCCCGGGCUCAACCUGGGAACUGCAUUUGUGACUGCAUAGCUAGAGUACGGCAGAGGGGGAUGGAAUUCCGCGUGUAGCAGUGAAAUGCGUAGAUAUGCGGAGGAACACCGAUGGCGAAGGCAAUCCCCUGGGCCUGUACUGACGCUCAUGCA